UGAUCCAAGAAAUCGGCACGGUUAUUGUGAAGAUGACUGCCAGGGGAAACGAAGGCGCUCUGGGAAGUUUGCUGUUUAUGUAGGGCUCGACAGGAGUAUGUUGAAGCUAAGUAUGUUUGGAACACAGCUAUGGUUUGUGUGACUCGUGUCUUUAUGUAGGUUGCUAGUUGACCUUCAGCCCAGCUGAAUGAAAACUGCUGCUGAAACACUGCUGGAUGAUCCCAAGCAGCAAUGAAUGAGGGAAGAACUUCCAGGACCACGAACACAUCACUGAUCACCAACUUAAUUGACCUCAUCACCCAUUUCCCAAAAAAGGUC
Long non-coding RNA from Scophthalmus maximus (turbot), 318 nucleotides. RefSeq lists it as uncharacterized. NCBI's taxonomy places the organism in Eukaryota, Metazoa, Chordata, Actinopteri, Pleuronectiformes, Scophthalmidae. The transcript is spliced from 3 exons. The record is from RefSeq and is a predicted model, not a curated record.